AUGGCUAAGCAAGCUGCCUUAGCAUUGGUCAAGCGAACUUUGGAUCGAUGCAUAGAGUUUGAGGAGACAGGAAAAAGCUGCUUCAGGGAGCCCUUGUAUAAGGAUAUGUUCCUUUCUGCUAUAUCCCGCCUUAGUGAUGGACAAACAGAUUCCUACACUGACAGUGAAGCUGCAAAAUCUUAUUUUAGCCCACAGCAGAGCCCAUCUCUAAACCAGGACAUACUUUAUGAAGCCAAUUUAUAUUCUGAAGCAAGUAGAGUCAAGCGGAGGGAGUUGGAAGAUGUCCUUGGUACUAGCAUUGCUGCUUCCUCUGGUGCUCUGUCAGGUGUUGGAUGUUCACUUUCAAGCAGUGCAAAAGGGAAGAGAAGUGAGAGGGACCGAGAAGGAAAAGGAAAUGGCAGAGAGGCAUCAUCUCGUGGUGGAUCAAUAAAGAUUGGUCGACCUGCCUCUUCCAGUGUUAAGGGAGAAAGAAAGCCUAAAACAAAAUCUAAGCUGAAAACUACUCAAUUAUCCACUUCCGUCAAUGGCCUUCUGGGCAAGAUGUCAGGGCAACCUAAAGCAGCAGCGUCUUCAAUAGUGAAUUCAAGUGAUAUCAGUGCCAGUGGCACUGGCAAGGAUAAGAAUGAUUAUGACUUGGAUGAAUUAGAGGAUCCCAUUGAUUUGUCUGGUCUGCAACUUCCUGGAAUGGAUGUUUUAGGUGCUCCUGAUGACUUUGAUGGUCAGGGACAGGACAUAGGUUCAUGGUUGAACAUAGAUGAUGAUGGAUUGCAAGAUCAUGACUUUCUGGGCCUUCAGAUUCCAAUGGAUGAUCUGUCAGAAUUGAAUAUGAUGGUUUGAAGCCAUCUUUGCUAUAGUUCCUAUUGAUUGCCGAUCUCUGGAGAAACAGGCUUCUGUGACCAUCAGUCCGUA
RNAcentral lists this unclassified non-coding RNA (909 nucleotides) under Hevea brasiliensis (rubber tree). The record is from RNAcentral. Lineage: Eukaryota; Viridiplantae; Streptophyta; Magnoliopsida; Malpighiales; Euphorbiaceae.